UCCUCGUUAGUAUAGUGGUGAGUAUAUCCGCCUGUCAAUUCCGCAAUUGGUCGGUUGAGCAGGACGCGGAAGACACGGGUUCGAUUCCCGUACGGGGAG
Molecule: transfer RNA, 99 nt
Filed under: Euroglyphus maynei
Lineage: Eukaryota; Metazoa; Arthropoda; Arachnida; Sarcoptiformes; Pyroglyphidae
Rfam family: tRNA
About the family: Transfer RNA (tRNA) molecules are approximately 80 nucleotides in length.
Source: Rfam by way of RNAcentral